GCCUUUAUAACUCAAUGGUAGAGUAAUAUACUGUUAAUAUAUCGGUUAGAUGUUCGAGUCAUCUUGAAGGCG
RNAcentral lists this transfer RNA (72 nucleotides) under Exophiala oligosperma. RNAcentral describes it as "tRNA-Asn". It matches the Rfam family "tRNA". From Rfam's summary of the family: Transfer RNA (tRNA) molecules are approximately 80 nucleotides in length. Their secondary structure includes four short double-helical elements and three loops (D, anti-codon, and T loops). Further hydrogen bonds mediate the characteristic L-shaped molecular structure. tRNAs have two regions of fundamental functional importance: the anti-codon, which is responsible for specific mRNA codon recognition, and the 3' end, to which the tRNAs corresponding amino acid is attached (by aminoacyl-tRNA synthetases). tRNAs cope with the degeneracy of the genetic code in two manners: having more than one tRNA (with a specific anti-codon) for a particular amino acid; and 'wobble' base-pairing, i.e. permitting non-standard base-pairing at the 3rd anti-codon position. Lineage: Eukaryota; Fungi; Ascomycota; Eurotiomycetes; Chaetothyriales; Herpotrichiellaceae. RNAcentral also lists the same sequence under 3 other names. The record is from RNAcentral.